This 498-nucleotide ribosomal RNA is filed under the name uncultured bacterium. RNAcentral describes it as "partial 16S ribosomal RNA". It matches the Rfam family "Bacterial small subunit ribosomal RNA", at positions 30 to 523 of the family's 1533-position model. The record is from RNAcentral.
AUUGAACGCUGGCGGCAUGCCUUACACAUGCAAGUCGAACGGUAACAGGUCUUCGGAUGCUGACGAGUGGCGAACGGGUGAGUAAUACAUCGGAACGUGCCUAGUAGUGGGGGAUAACUACUCGAAAGAGUGGCUAAUACCGCAUGAGAUCUACGGAUGAAAGCAGGGGAUCGCAAGACCUUGUGCUACUAGAGCGGCCGAUGGCAGAUUAGGUAGUUGGUGGGAUAAAGGCUUACCAAGCCGACGAUCUGUAGCUGGGCUGAGAGGACGAUCAGCCACAGUGGGACUGAGACACGGCCCAGACUCCUACGGGAGGCAGCAGUGGGGAAUUUUGGACAAUGGGCGAAAGCCUGAACCAGCAAUGCCGCGUGCAGGAUGAAGGCCUUCGGGUUGUAAACUGCUUUUGUACGGAACGAAAAGCCCUGGGUUAAUACCCUGGGGUCAUGACGGUACCGUAAGAAUAAGCACCGGCUAACUACGUGCCAGCCGCCGCCGUAA